RNAcentral lists this ribosomal RNA (541 nucleotides) under uncultured Gallionellaceae bacterium. Its description in RNAcentral is "bacterial SSU rRNA". It matches the Rfam family "Bacterial small subunit ribosomal RNA", at positions 135 to 671 of the family's 1533-position model. Lineage: Bacteria; Pseudomonadati; Pseudomonadota; Betaproteobacteria; Nitrosomonadales; Gallionellaceae. The record is from RNAcentral.
AGUGGAGGAUAACGUAGCGAAAGUUACGCUAAUACCGCAUAUGCCCUGAGGGGGAAAGGUGGGGAUCGCAAGACCUAUCGUUUUCGGAGUGGCCGAUAUCAGAUUAGCUAGUUGGUGGGGUAAAGGCCCACCAAGGCGACGAUCUGUAGCGGGUCUGAGAGGAUGAUCCGCCACACUGGGACUGAGACACGGCCCAGACUCCUACGGGAGGCAGCAGUGGGGAAUUUUGGACAAUGGGGGCAACCCUGAUCCAGCCAUGCCGCGUGAGUGAAGAAGGCCUUCGGGUUGUAAAGCUCUUUCAGCCGGAAAGAAAUCGCGCAGGCUAAUAUCCUGCGUGGAUGACGGUACCGGAAGAAGAAGCACCGGCUAACUACGUGCCAGCAGCCGCGGUAAUACGUAGGGUGCGAGCGUUAAUCGGAAUUACUGGGCGUAAAGCGUGCGCAGGCGGUUUUGUAAGACAGGCGUGAAAUCCCCGGGCUUAACCUGGGAACUGCGUUUGUGACUGCAAGGCUAGAGUGUGGCAGAGGGGGGUAGAAUUCCG